Molecule: long non-coding RNA, 591 nt
Organism: Humulus lupulus (European hop)
Lineage: Eukaryota; Viridiplantae; Streptophyta; Magnoliopsida; Rosales; Cannabaceae
Exons: 3
Source: RefSeq, a predicted model, not a curated record
GCUUAAUGCGGUUGUGAAUUAAUGGCCGAAGCCUACUCUUCACUUGGUGCCAUUUUGGAAAAUGUUGAAUCUAGGCAGCUUCGUCACUUGCUAAGUUCUGGUUAAUAGGUCCAUUAUCUAAAGAGGAUAAGGAGAUUGAGUCUAGCUUAGCAAAAUACCUCAAAGAACAGCGCAAAUUACUUGGAGACACAUCAGUAAGAAAUUUUUAAACUUGAUUUUUGAUCUCUUAGUAGUUAGUAGGUUAGUUGAGAAAACCAUGGCGAUUUGAGUAGAUCUGCUUGGUAUACAUGGCCAACCAUACAGAAAAAUGAAAUGUUGAAAGCAUUUGACUGUGUUAAUUUUGUAAUUUAUUGUAUUGUGGAGAUUGUUAAUUUAAUUUUAUUACUUUGUAAAUCUGAAAGUUCUUUCAUUUUUUCAGAAUAUUGUGGGUUCACAUUCACGAAGCAUUUAUGGAAAAUCUCUCUAUCAAAAUGAAACAAAAUGGAAAUUUUGGAAAAGGCAAGCAAGGCAGCAUUUUUGUGAGACACUGAGAAAUGAAGUUGGUUCAAUCAUUGGCAUAACAAUUGUCACACCUGGGCUCAUUGGGACCAA